CCUACGGGAGGCAGCAGUGAGGAAUAUUGCGCAAUGGGCGAAAGCCUGACGCAGCGACGCCGCGUGGGGGAUGAAGGUCUUCGGAUUGUAAACCCCUUUCGGGAGGGAAAAUGGUGCUCGACAACGAGCACGGAUGGUACCUCCAGAAGCAGCCACGGCUAACUUCGUGCCAGCAGCCGCGGUAAUACGAAGGUGGCAAGCGUUGUUCGGAUUUACUGGGCGUACAGGGUGCGUAGGUGGUUGUGUAAGCCCCUCGGGAAAUCUCCAGGCUUAACCUGGAAAGGUCGGGGGGGACUGCACGGCUAGAGGACGGAAGAGGAGCGCGGAAUUCCCGGUGUAGCGGUGAAAUGCGUAGAGAUCGGGAGGAAGGCCGGUGGCGAAGGCGGCGCUCUGGGACGUUCCUGACACUGAGGCACGAAAGCGUGGGGAGCAAACAGGAU
RNAcentral lists this ribosomal RNA (440 nucleotides) under uncultured bacterium. RNAcentral describes it as "bacterial SSU rRNA". It matches the Rfam family "Bacterial small subunit ribosomal RNA", at positions 338 to 778 of the family's 1533-position model. The record is from RNAcentral.